GCCGCCCGGACAGUUGGUGCAGGAAGAACGCAGCAGUAUCAGCGCACUCCAUCCCGGGGAUCUGAAUGCAUUGGUGGAGAGAACAGGGAAAUAAGAGGUAAGAGAGAGAAAAAAACAAAGCAGGCAAAUAGCACAGCUGUCCCCAGGGGGCGGGGCUUAAGGCAGGGCCUGUGCCGGAGGGUGGCCCAGCACAGUCGGGGCCUCGGGGCCCAGUCUGGAGGGGGCCUGGCACAGCUGAGGCCUCCUCUGGGUCCAGACCAAAGGGGGCCCAGGCUGGAGGAGAACCAGGCUCAGUUGGGGCUGCUUUGGGGCCCAGGCUGGAGGAGGACCAGGCUCAGUUGGGGCUGCUUUGAGGCCCAGUCCGGAGGGGGGCCUGGCACAGUUGGGGCUGCUUUGGGGCCCAGGCUGGAGGAGGACCAGGCUCAGCUGGGGCUGCUUUGGGGCCUAGUCCGGAGGGAGGCCCGGUACAGCCAGAGCCUUGUGGCAGCAGUCCAACUCUCAAGUUCAACCUUUAACCAUAACCUAAAAUGGUAACCGUAGUGAAAGGUAGUGGCAGAUGGAGCUGCUUUACUGUGUUUUAAUUUUCCCAAGAAUGGUGAAGGACUCAAGCUAGUAAAGAAAGACCCCUUUCUGAAGAGCAGGACUCAGAAGGUAUUACCAGAGAGCAGAUCUCCCAGUAGAGAUUCUUCCCCUUAGACAGCCAGCCCUUAAAUGAGGUUAGGGAGGGCUGGGACCAGGCUCCACCCCUUUUCUGCACAGGUGAAACGCUUCCAGCUGUGCUCCGCAGCAGACCAUGUUUUAACAAAGGUGAAAGCCUGUGAAACAAAAGAAUCCCUUCUUACUUGUUUCACGUUUGUGUUUGUUGACCGCAGUUCCAACCAGGUGGACUCUCAAUGUCUUGCAAGCGACACCUAGAAGCAGGUACAGGCAGGAGGCACAGCACCCUGCAACCUCCAGGGGCCUUUGUGCAAAUGUUCAUGUCCUAGAAGCACGUGGCGGAGCACGUCCUGGGAUCAAGGUGCCAUGGACUGGAAAACGCAGCUCUGGACAUACAGGCUUGGCGGAGUUCCUGUGUGAAGACAAAACUCCCAGUACUCCAGAAACGUGGAGGCAGAAGAGCAGUGACAAGUUCCAGUCGAAGGUCUCUGUUCAGCCAGUCCAGGAGUGCGUGGGCAGACAAAGAAGCGUUGUGCAGGCAGGGAAAAAUGAGUGCUGUGGGUCCUGGGAGCAGCAAUGCGUGAGGCUCCUCCUGCUAGUGCUCUUCCGCUGGAACGUCCCUUUGGUUUUCUACUUGGGAGAAUAUUUGAACCCGUUGAAAAAGGUCUGACUUGAAGCGAGGGUGCAGAGCAGAUUUAACCUCUGCAGGCGUGUAUGCCAGAGCAUGAAGCAUCGUCAACAAGCACGGGGUAGCACCAGCUUGAAACAGGGGAAGCUUCCACAGAGCCCCCAAAUGGAGUCCCAGGGUGAUGAGAUGAAGCUGAUUUUGGCAGCAUUAAAGGUGGUUUUCCAGGAUCUGUGCCUUCUAGGGCUGGGGGCUGUCACUGGGGUUGCUUUCACAGGACACCCCCCAGCCCACCUCAGGACCCACGGGGAGUCUGUUGGUGACAAAUGUGUCACUGAGUGACAGCAUCAGGGUGGGAAUGCGUGGAACACAGUGCCCAGGGCAGAGCCAAGCGGCGCUGGGGGGGGGGGUCAGCCCCAAGGAGAAAGCCUCCCCCAUGGAAGAAAUGGAUUGCUUAAUGCCGUGGGUGGGAUGUUGGAGAACAGCAAAUUAAUGAGGUUAAAAGGUGCCGCCCGGGUACGUUGGGAACCUCCUCCCACCCUGCAAGUGCUGUCCAAAGCUCUCCAGUGCCCCCUGCUGCUCUUUGCAGUUCCCCACUAAGCUCCCGUUGUCUCCCAGUAUUGUCCAGAGUCUCCUUGUGCAAACUCAGUGCCCCCCAGUGCUGCCUGGAGCCACCCCAGUGCUGUAUGCGGCCCUCAGUAGCCUCCCAGUGCCCCCCAGUGGACUUCCCAGUGCCUCCAGUAGUGCUCAGUGCCCCCAGUUCAACACAUGCACUGCUCAGCACGUGACUGUCGCCUU
Gallus gallus (chicken) is the source of this 2080-nucleotide long non-coding RNA. RefSeq lists it as uncharacterized. The record is from RefSeq and is a predicted model, not a curated record. NCBI's taxonomy places the organism in Eukaryota, Metazoa, Chordata, Aves, Galliformes, Phasianidae. The transcript has 3 exons.